UACAGAGGUCUCAAGCGUUGUUCGGAUUCAUUGGGCGUAAAGGGUGCGUAGGCGGCGCGGUAAGUCGGGUGUGAAAUCUCGGGGCUUAACUCCGAAACUGCAUUCGAUACUGCCGUGCUCGAGUGCGAGAGAGGUCAGUGGAAUUGCAGGUGUAGCGGUGAAAUGCGUAGAUAUCUGCAGGAACACCCGUGGCGAAGGCGGCUGACUGGAUCGCAACUGACACUGAGGAACGAAAGCUAGGGGAGCAAACAGG
RNAcentral lists this ribosomal RNA (253 nucleotides) under uncultured prokaryote. RNAcentral describes it as "partial 16S ribosomal RNA". It matches the Rfam family "Bacterial small subunit ribosomal RNA", at positions 524 to 776 of the family's 1533-position model. The record is from RNAcentral.